RNAcentral lists this unclassified non-coding RNA (310 nucleotides) under Basidiomycota sp. Its description in RNAcentral is "partial contains small subunit ribosomal RNA, internal transcribed spacer 1, and 5.8S ribosomal RNA". The stretch from base 1 to 47 matches the Rfam family "Eukaryotic small subunit ribosomal RNA", at positions 1785 to 1831 of the family's 1831-position model. Lineage: Eukaryota; Fungi; Basidiomycota. The record is from RNAcentral.
AAAGUCGUAACAAGGUUUCCGUAGGUGAACCUGCGGAAGGAUCAUUAUUGAAUAAACUUGGUGUAUUGUAGCUGGCUCUUUGGAGCAUGUGCACAUACAUCUUUGUUUCUUUCCACCUGUGCACCCUUUGUAGAUCUGGAUACCUUUCGAGGAAACUCGGUUUGAGAGUUGCUGAUUUCUUUGAAGUCAGCUUCCCUUACAUUUCCGAUCUAUGUUUUUCAUAUACCCCUUAGUAUGUUUAGAAUGUUUAUAAUCGGCUUUUAUGCCUUUAAAAUUAAUACAACUUUCAACAACGGAUCUCUUGGCUCUC